AUUGAACGCUGGCGGCAGGCCUAACACAUGCAAGUCGAACGGUAACAGGAAGAAGCUUGCUUCUUUGCUGACGAGUGGCGGACGAGUGAGUAAUGUCUGGGAAACUGCCUGAUGGAGGGGGAUAACUACUGGAAACGGUAGCUAAUACCGCAUAACGUCGCAAGACCAAAGAGGGGGACCUUCGGGCCUCUUGCCAUCGGAUGUGCCCAGAUGGGAUUAGCUAGUAGGUGGGGUAACGGCUCACCUAGGCGACGAUCCCUAGCUGGUCUGAGAGGAUGACCAGCCACACUGGAACUGAGACACGGUCCAGACUCCUACGGGAGGCAGCAGUGGGGAAUAUUGCACAAUGGGCGCAAGCCUGAUGCAGCCAUGCCGCGUGUAUGAAGAAGGCCUUCGGGUUGUAAAGUACUUUCAGCGGGGAGGAAGGGAGUAAAGUUAAUACCUUUGCUCAUUGACGUUACCCGCAGAAGAAGCACCGGCUAACUCCGUG
Molecule: ribosomal RNA, 490 nt
Filed under: uncultured bacterium
Lineage: Bacteria
Description: partial 16S ribosomal RNA
Rfam family: Bacterial small subunit ribosomal RNA
Source: RNAcentral